RNAcentral lists this ribosomal RNA (460 nucleotides) under uncultured bacterium. RNAcentral's name for it is "partial 16S ribosomal RNA". It matches the Rfam family "Bacterial small subunit ribosomal RNA", at positions 338 to 795 of the family's 1533-position model. The record is from RNAcentral.
CCUACGGGAGGCAGCAGUGAGGAAUAUUGGUCAAUGGACGAGAGUCUGAACCAGCCAAGUAGCGUGAAGGAUGACUGCCCUAUGGGUUGUAAACUUCUUUUAUAUGGGAAUAAAAUGUUCCACGUGUGGGAUUUUGUAUGUACCAUAUGAAUAAGGAUCGGCUAACUCCGUGCCAGCAGCCGCGGUAAUACGGAGGAUCCGAGCGUUAUCUGGAUUUAUUGGGUUUAAAGGGAGCGUAGGUGGAUUGUUAAGUCAGUUGUGAAAGUUUGCGGCUCAACCGUAAAAUUGCAGUUGAAACUGGCAGUCUUGAGUACAGUAGAGGUGGGCGGAAGUCGUGGUGUAGCGGUGAAAUGCUUAGAUAUCACGAAGAACUCCGAUUGCGAAGGCAGUUCACUGGACUGCAACUGACACUGAGGCUCGAAAGUGUGGGUAUCAAACAGGAUUAGAUACCCCUGUAGUC